AGUGAACGCUGGCGGUAGGCCUAACACAUGCAAGUCGAACGGCAGCACAGUAAGAGCUUGCUCCUACUGGUGGCGAGUGGCGGACGGGUGAGGCAUAGAUCGGAAUCUACUUUUUCGGGGGGGAUAACGUAGGGCAACUGACGCUAAUACCGGAUACUACCUACGGGUGAAAGCAGAGGAGAUUCGGACCUUGCGCGAUACAAUGAGCCGAUGUCGGAUUAGCUAGUUGGCGGGGUAAAGGCCCACCAAGGCGACGAUCCGUAGCCGAUCUGAGAGGAUGAUCAGCCACACUGGAACUGAGACACGGUCCAGACUCCUACGGGAGGCAGCAGUAGGGAAUAUUCGGCAAUGGGCGCAAGCCUGAUGCAGCCAUACCGCGUGAGUGAUGAAGGCCUUCGGGUCGUAAAGCCCUUUUGUUGGGGAAGAAAAGCUGCGGGUUAAUACCCCGCUAUCCUGACGGUACCCAAAGAAUAAGCCCCGGCUAACUUCGUG
RNAcentral lists this ribosomal RNA (492 nucleotides) under uncultured bacterium. Its description in RNAcentral is "partial 16S ribosomal RNA". It matches the Rfam family "Bacterial small subunit ribosomal RNA", at positions 29 to 507 of the family's 1533-position model. The record is from RNAcentral.